This 65-nucleotide transfer RNA is filed under the name Pareas formosensis (Formosa slug snake). RNAcentral describes it as "tRNA-Val". Lineage: Eukaryota; Metazoa; Chordata; Lepidosauria; Squamata; Pareidae. The record is from RNAcentral.
CAAAAAGUAGCUUACACAUAAAGCACUCGACCUACAAUCGAGCGAUAUUAAUACAAUCUUUUUGA